Molecule: ribosomal RNA, 253 nt
Filed under: uncultured bacterium
Lineage: Bacteria
Description: partial 16S ribosomal RNA
Rfam family: Bacterial small subunit ribosomal RNA
Source: RNAcentral
UACAGAGGGUGCAAGCGUUAAUCGGAAUUACUGGGCGUAAAGCGUGCGUAGCCGGUUACAUAAGUCGGGUGUGAAAGCCCCGGGCUCAACCUGGGAAUUGCAUUCGAGACUGCGUAGCUAGGGUGCGGAAGAGGGAAGCGGAAUUUCCGGUGUAGCGGUGAAAUGCGUAGAUAUCGGAAGGAACACCAGUGGCGAAAGCGGCUUCCUGGUCCAGCACCGACGUUCAGGCACGAAAGCGUGGGGAGCAAGCAGG